This 496-nucleotide ribosomal RNA is filed under the name uncultured bacterium. Its description in RNAcentral is "partial 16S ribosomal RNA". It matches the Rfam family "Bacterial small subunit ribosomal RNA", at positions 28 to 506 of the family's 1533-position model. The record is from RNAcentral.
GAUGAACGCUGGCGGCGUGCUUAAUACAUGCAAGUCGAGCGAACAGACGAGGAGCUUGCUCCUCUGACGUUAGCGGCGGACGGGUGAGUAACACGUGGAUAACCUACCUAUAAGACUGGGAUAACUUCGGGAAACCGGAGCUAAUACCGGAUAAUAUAUUGAACCGCAUGGUUCAAUAGUGAAAGACGGUUUUGCUGUCACUUAUAGAUGGAUCCGCGCCGCAUUAGCUAGUUGGUAAGGUAACGGCUUACCAAGGCAACGAUGCGUAGCCGACCUGAGAGGGUGAUCGGCCACACUGGAACUGAGACACGGUCCAGACUCCUACGGGAGGCAGCAGUAGGGAAUCUUCCGCAAUGGGCGAAAGCCUGACGGAGCAACGCCGCGUGAGUGAUGAAGGUCUUCGGAUCGUAAAACUCUGUUAUUAGGGAAGAACAAAUGUGUAAGUAACUAUGCACGUCUUGACGGUACCUAAUCAGAAAGCCACGGCUAACUACGU